CGUACACUCCUGCGGGAGGCAGCAGUGGGGAAUAUUGGACAAUGGGCGAAAGCCUGAUCCAGCAAUGCCGCGUGAGUGAUGAAGGCCUUAGGGUUGUAAAGCUCUUUUACCCGGGAUGAUAAUGACAGUACCGGGAGAAUAAGCCCCGGCUAACUCCGUGCCAGCAGCCGCGGUAAUACGGAGGGGGCUAGCGUUGUUCGGAAUUACUGGGCGUAAAGCGCGCGUAGGCGGCUUUGUAAGUUAGAGGUGAAAGCCCGGAGCUCAACUUCGGAAUUGCCUUUAAGACUGCAUCGCUAGAAUCGUGGAGAGGUGAGUGGAAUUCCGAGUGUAGAGGUGAAAUUCGUAGAUAUUCGGAAGAACACCAGUGGCGAAGGCGACUCACUGGACACGUAUUGACGCUGAGGUGCGAAAGCGUGGGGAGCAAACAGGAUUAGAUACCCGUGUAGUCCCAUGA
RNAcentral lists this ribosomal RNA (454 nucleotides) under uncultured organism. RNAcentral describes it as "partial 16S ribosomal RNA". It matches the Rfam family "Bacterial small subunit ribosomal RNA", at positions 330 to 800 of the family's 1533-position model. The record is from RNAcentral.